RNAcentral lists this long non-coding RNA (1227 nucleotides) under Heterocephalus glaber (naked mole-rat). RNAcentral's name for it is "lncRNA (ENSHGLG00100050729.1)". The record is from RNAcentral. Lineage: Eukaryota; Metazoa; Chordata; Mammalia; Rodentia; Bathyergidae.
AAGAAUUUUGUUGUUUGUGUAACUUUGAAGGAAGAAGUAAAUGGUCAUAGUCGAGAAUGCAAAAUGGCAAUACUAUGGGAGAGGACCUCAUGGAAAUACUAAUUGCAGUGAAGCCUACAUUGAUACUUGUUAGGAUUGUGCUACUCCUUUGUCACUCAAGACUAAGAGCCAUUACUAGGUUCCAGACAACAUAAGCUAAUUCUGGCUAGAAUUUAUUGAUGAAGACUCAGAUCUUGAAAUCUGAAUUUAAAACAACCAGCUUUUGGAUGAGCCAGACCAAGGACCCCCAGGGACCUUAGAAGCAGAAGAUAAUGGACCUUUUCUAUAGAACAUUGGACUCUUUGUUUCUCACCUUUAGUGGCCUGAUGUCAAAUGGGUCAUCUUAGUCAAGAAGGCAGGCAGGACCAUGUAUUACAAGCCUAAUUGCUGGGGAUUUUUCUGUAUCUGAAGCAAUUAUAGGCAAAGGGAAUGUUUAGAAGUAAUAAAAUUUUAAGACUUUAAGGGUGAAUGACAGAUAAACUACACAUAUUUAAAGUAUAUAAUUUGGUAUAUUUUGACAUGUGUGUAUACACACCAGGAAACUAUCACCAUAAUGAAGAAAAUGAAGAUAUCCAUAUCUCUGCUGGUUUCCUUUCGUCCUUUUUUCUUUCUUCUCUCUCAGUCCUGUGUCCCUCUUCCUGUACCCAGGCAUCAGCUGACCUGCUUCUGUCAUUGUGGAUUAGUUUGCACUUUCUAGAAUUUUACUUAAAUGGGAUCAUAAGUUCUUUUCUGACUUUUUUCAUUCAGUGUAAUUAUUUUGAGACUUAUCCAUGCUGUAGUAUUUAUCAGUACCUUAUUGCUUUUUAUGGGUGAUUAAUGUUCCAUUGGCUGGCUAUACUAUAGUUUAUUCAUUAAGCUGUUGAUGACAUUAGGGUUCUAGUUUGAGGCUAUUACUGAUAAAGUUGGUAUGAAUAUUUACAUGCAAGUGUUUUCUUUUAGACAUUUGUUUUCAUUUCUCUUGAGUAAAACCUAGGAGUAGAAUGGCCUGGUAAUCCUGUAGGUGGGUGUUUUACUUUUUCAUCAACUGCCAAGAAGUUUUUCAAAGUGGUUGUAUAAUUUUCUAUUCCUACUGGCAACAUGUGAGAGUUCUGGUUCUCUAUCAUCACUAGCACUUGGUUAUAUCCAGGACUUACUUUUUUUUUAUUAAGUUUAUUGGUACAUUUUAGGUAUACAAUACAGUUACUUUCA